Molecule: ribosomal RNA, 1397 nt
Filed under: uncultured bacterium
Lineage: Bacteria
Description: bacterial SSU rRNA
Rfam family: Bacterial small subunit ribosomal RNA
Source: RNAcentral
GAACGAACGCUGGCGGCGUGGAUUAGGCAUGCAAGUCGAACGAGAAUCUGAUGGUUCAAGUUUUCGGACAAGAACUAUUGGAGGACAGUGGCGGAAGGGUGAGUACAACAUGGGUAAUCUAUCUUCAAGUUGGGUAUAACUUUCCGAAAGGGGAGAUAAUGCCGAAUGUGGUGAUCCGACGCCUGUCGGAGAUUCUAAAGGUGGGGACCGUAAGGCCUGCCGCUUGAAGCCGAGCCCGUGCACUAUCAGCUAGUUGGUAGGGUAAUGGCCUACCAAGGCAAUGACGGUUAGCUGGUCUGAGAGGAUGGUCAGCCACACUGGGACUGAGAUACUGCCCAGACUCCUACGGGAGGCUGCAGUCGAGAAUCAUUCGCAAUGGGCGAAAGCCUGACGGUGCGACGUCGCGUGGAGGAUGAAGGUCUUCGGAUUGUAAACUCCUGUCAUGUGGAAUAAAUGGCCCGGGCCCGAAUACGGCCUGGGAAUGAUCGUACCACAGGAGGAAGAGACGGCUAACUCUGUGCCAGCAGCCGCGGUAAUACAGAGGUCUCGAGCGUUGUUCGGAUUUACUGGGCGUAAAGGGAGCGUAGGCGGUUUGGUGUGUCGAAUGUGAAAGCCCACAACUCAACUGUGGAAAUGCAUUCGAAACUGCCGGACUAGAGUACUGGAGAGGAGAGCGGAAUUCUUGGUGUAGCGGUGAAAUGCGUAGAUAUCAAGAGGAACACCGGUGGCGAAGGCGGCUCUCUGGACAGAUACUGACGCUGAGGCUCUAAAGUUAGGGGAGCAAACAGGAUUAGAUACCCUGGUAGUCCUAACCAUAAACGGUGUACACUUGGUGUGCGAGGAAUUGUCCCUUUGCGCGCCGGAGCUAACGCGUUAAGUGUACCGCCUGGGGAGUACGGUCGCAAGAUUAAAACUCAAAGGAAUUGACGGGGACCCGCACAAGCGGUGGAGCAUGUGGCUUAAUUCGAUGCAACGCGAAGAACCUUACCAGGGUUUGACAUCCCCUGACAGGCAUGGAAACAUGUCCUCGUCCUUCGGGGCGCAGGGAGACAGGUGGUGCAUGGCUGUCGUCAGCUCGUGUCGUGAGAUGUUGGGUUAAGUCCCGCAACGAGCGCAACCCUUGUCCUAAGUUGCCAACGAGUAAAGUCGGGAACUCUUAGGAGACCGCCGGCGACAAGUCGGAGGAAGGUGGGGAUGACGUCAAGUCAUCAUGCCCUUUAUGCCCUGGGCGACACACGUGCUACAAUGGCCGGUACAGAGGGCGGCGAAAGCGCGAGCUGGAGCGAAUCCCCCAAAACCGGUCCCAGUUCGGAUCGCAGGCUGCAACUCGCCUGCGUGAAGUAGGAAUCGCUAGUAAUCACGGGUCAGCAUACCGUGGUGAAUACGUUCCCGGGCCU